GUUUGGUUUGGGCUUGAGUUCAUGUACUAACUAGUGUUGAUAAUCCCUGAAAUGACCUUGCUUUCAACCAAAAACCAAACCCUGUUUGCAAUCGAUAUCUAAAAUAAGCCCCAGGAUGGUGUGUGAGCUGCUAGUCUCCUCACUGUGGUUCCUUUUUGUCAUCUUCUGGGUGGAGACCAUAAGUGUGUGGCUGUUCCUAUGCAUCUUCUACCAGGACCAGGCAUUUUAUCACUGGGGAGAUGGGGUAUUUGCAGAUGACCCCGGCCAAAUGCUGUACAUGUUGAGCAGAGUGGAUCCCUCUGGACAGAUGCAGACCUGAAACAGUGAAAGCAUAUGAGGAACAGCACAUAAUGGAUUGUUCUCUCCAGAUAUAAAAUGAUGGGAGCUGUAUGUUUGAGACACUCCUAUAAAAUAAUGAGAAUCAGUAGUAUUUUUCUACCUCCCUGCUCCUGGUUCCCUCCUAGAUUUAGCGCAUGGUCAUUGUCAACAUGAAGAAACUGCAUUGAAUGCAGUUGGAUUGUUGUUGGAUAUGGGUAGAGACACCCAGCUUGGCAAGAAGAACCAGGGAGGGGGUCUUGCCGUAACUGUGGAAUAGAUGCAUAGUGAGGCAGCUAAGUGUUCCCCACCAAAGCAUGAACCAUCAUACAUAUGUUCUAUUUCCAUUGUCUGUGUUAAUAUGUGAUAUAGGUCAAACAAUGUGGGAAAACACUUGGCAGAUGCUUUGAAAAAAUAUUUUUACAUGAGGUUUAGUCCAUAGCCAAUGUCAUUUUUGUGGAUUUCGGCAGACUUGCACAUUAUCAUGGUUGUACACAUUUUAGUUUGUUUAUUUGUUUGUUUUCACAUCUGUGUCUGUAUACAUCAUCUGCUUCAGUCUGGGCACUUACAUAACAGUGUCACUGGAUUGUUUUGCUAUGUAAAACACUAACAACAUUAUUGACAUGAUACACAUUCAAUUAAAAACUUUACUCUUGGAAAUCUUCCAACAUGACGAUAAUAUAAUAUGCACUCAUCAGUAUUUUGUCAUUUGCGCUCAAACUAAAAUGUUGAAUGUAGCUUUUUUUUUUGCUGUUGUAAAGCUCACACCACACUAAUAAUGUCAUGAAUGCUCUUCUAGCAAAUGUGGAAAAUUAUUACAAACCUUAGAUGAAUUCUACAUUUUGACUUGUACCUGUUCAUAACUUGUAAAUUGUCUUCAUUGAAGAUCAUCCUUCUGUAAUGUCAGUCAGCCUAACACAAGUAUUGUCUUUGUAAUGUUGACUUCUUCUUGUUUAGGAAAGUGGCAUGUUGGGUUAAACUGGGCAGUGACACCAAUGGUACGUUUGGUUUUAUUUGUUUGCAUCUGAAGACAAUAAAUUCUGAC
Molecule: long non-coding RNA, 1360 nt
Filed under: Salmo salar (Atlantic salmon)
Lineage: Eukaryota; Metazoa; Chordata; Actinopteri; Salmoniformes; Salmonidae
Description: lncRNA (ENSSSAG00000097217.1)
Source: RNAcentral